Molecule: long non-coding RNA, 468 nt
Filed under: Homo sapiens (human)
Lineage: Eukaryota; Metazoa; Chordata; Mammalia; Primates; Hominidae
Description: HSALNT0245187
Source: RNAcentral
GGGAGACGGCGGCUUGGGAGCUGGCUGUGCUGCAGGUGAGCUGCGGCAGCCGCCGUCCUUGCACCUAAGGAACCUCUGCUGCCAGCCCUUCCUCACUUUUGGAAAUGGCGGGUGAAAUUACAGAGACCGGGGAACUCUACUCUUCCUACGUGAGUGUGACUUAUAGAACCUUUUGCUCACUUAAGUGUUCCUGGCUUCUAGAAAAGCACAUUGCUUGCUGGAGAUGGGACUAGUGAGUGCUGCUGCUUGAGCAGACCAUAGUGGAAGCAGGAUGGGGGAGUUCCAUGGGGCAGCGACUACAGUGCUGCUGUGGUGGCUCAGAAUGUAAGUCAGAUUUAUUCUCUUUUUAAGGUGUUUGUCAGAGUGGUCAAGCCAAACAAAAUCGCCAUGCUGUUUAUAAUGUUAAUCCCGGGCUGGGCACGGUGGCUCACGCCUGUAAUCCCAGCACUUUGGGAGGCUGAAGCGGGC